RNAcentral lists this ribosomal RNA (221 nucleotides) under uncultured bacterium. RNAcentral's name for it is "partial 16S ribosomal RNA". It matches the Rfam family "Bacterial small subunit ribosomal RNA", at positions 524 to 743 of the family's 1533-position model. The record is from RNAcentral.
UACGUAGGGUGCAGGCGUUAAUCGGAAUUACUGGGCGUAAAGCGUGCGCAGGCGGUCUGUUAAGACCGAUGUGAAAUCCCCGGGCUUAACCUGGGAACUGCAUUGGUGACUGGCAGGCUUUGAGUGUGGCAGAGGGAGGUAGAAUUCCACGUGUAGCAGUGAAAUGCGUAGAGAUGUGGAGGAAUACCGAUGGCGAAGGCAGCCUCCUGGGCCAACACUGA